Molecule: ribosomal RNA, 253 nt
Filed under: uncultured bacterium
Lineage: Bacteria
Description: partial 16S ribosomal RNA
Rfam family: Bacterial small subunit ribosomal RNA
Source: RNAcentral
UACGUAGGUGGCGAGCGUUGUCCGGAAUGACUGGGCGUAAAGGGAGCGUAGGUGGCAAUUUAAGUUAGAUGUGAAAGCCCAAGGCUCAACCUUGGAAUUGCAUUUAAAACUGGAUAGCUAGAGUACAGGAGGGGUAAGCGGAAUUCCUAGUGUAGCGGUGGAAUGCGUAGAUAUUAGGAAGAACACCGGAGGCGAAAGCGGCUUACUGGACUGCAACUGACACUGAGGCUCGAAAGCGUGGGGAGCAAACAGG